This 265-nucleotide small nucleolar RNA is filed under the name Nicotiana sylvestris (wood tobacco). Its description in RNAcentral is "Plant small nucleolar RNA U3". It matches the Rfam family "Plant small nucleolar RNA U3". From Rfam's summary of the family: Small nucleolar RNAs (snoRNAs) are involved in the processing and modification of rRNA in the nucleolus. There are two main classes of snoRNAs: the box C/D class, and the box H/ACA class. The record is from Rfam by way of RNAcentral. Lineage: Eukaryota; Viridiplantae; Streptophyta; Magnoliopsida; Solanales; Solanaceae.
ACGACCUUACUUGAACAGGAUCUGUUCUGUAGGCUGUAUUUUNCUGACAGACACUUUUUUUUGCUAUAUUUUUGUUUGUUAUGGGACGAGACUUGGCAUAACUGAUAAAGUUGAUGCCAUGUAAUUAGCAAGUCACGGGUUCGAAAAAUAUAUGGGACCAGAGCGUGAUUAACAGCCCCCAAGGCCCUCGGGUCAUGGUGUCGUAGAUGAUCGUUCUCGGCUCCAUCAUUGGUGCUGGGAUGGUCUAAUGGCUGUCUGACAGACU